This 23-nucleotide non-coding RNA is filed under the name Rattus norvegicus (Norway rat). Lineage: Eukaryota; Metazoa; Chordata; Mammalia; Rodentia; Muridae. The record is from RNAcentral.
UCCAUAGUGCGGGUUUUGUGUCU